Peromyscus maniculatus bairdii (prairie deer mouse) is the source of this 305-nucleotide non-coding RNA. Lineage: Eukaryota; Metazoa; Chordata; Mammalia; Rodentia; Cricetidae. The record is from RefSeq and is a predicted model, not a curated record.
GAUCAGAAUCCUCAUUGGAAGAAGCCUCGGCAAUUCUUUGUAUUUCUUGGAUGAAUUUUCUGUAUUAGCUGAAGGAGUCUCCUAGUUGCAUACCCUAUGACUGAGCAAUCCCCUGCUGUAUGCACACAAGAGCUGGAAGUAGAAGUCAAGAAGCUAAAGAGAGCAGUGGCUGCUGGUAAGAUGGCAAUGUUACAUUCAGGAGUAACUUGGUGCUUAGGACAAAAAUGAACACUUCCCUACAGAAGCAAGUAAAGGCAAGUGAUGAACCACCUGCUCCCGCCAUUGUGAAAACCGAUCACUGAGUG